This 492-nucleotide ribosomal RNA is filed under the name uncultured bacterium. RNAcentral describes it as "partial 16S ribosomal RNA". It matches the Rfam family "Bacterial small subunit ribosomal RNA", at positions 29 to 507 of the family's 1533-position model. The record is from RNAcentral.
AGUGAACGCUGGCGGUAGGCCUAACACAUGCCAGUCGAACGGCAGCACAGUAAGAGCUUGCUCUUACGGGUGGCGAGUGGCGGACGGGUGAGGAAUACAUCGGAAUCUACUUUUUCGUGGGGGAUAACGUAGGGAAACUUACGCUAAUACCGCAUACGACUUACUGGUGAUAGCAGGGGUUCUUCGGACCUUGCCCGAUUGCAUGAGCCGAUGUCGGAUUAGCUUGUUGGGGGGGUAAAGGCCCACCAAGGCGACGAUCCGUAGCUGGUCUGAGAGAAUGCUCAGCCACACGGGAACUAGGACACGGUCCAGAGUCCUACGGGAGGCAGCAGUGGGGAAUCUUGGACAAUGGGCGGAAGCCUGAGCCAGCCAUACCGCGCGGUUGAAGAAGGCCUUCGGGUUGUAAAGCCCUUUUGUUGGGAAAGAAAAGCAGAUGAUUAAUACCACGCUGUUCUGACGGUACCCAAAGAAAAAGCACCGGCUAACUUCGUG